This 235-nucleotide ribosomal RNA is filed under the name uncultured bacterium. Its description in RNAcentral is "partial 16S ribosomal RNA". It matches the Rfam family "Bacterial small subunit ribosomal RNA", at positions 1258 to 1500 of the family's 1533-position model. The record is from RNAcentral.
UGACAGGAUGCUAAUCCCUAAAACCUACUCUCAGUUCGGAUCGAAGUCUGCAACCCGACUUCGUGAAGCUGGAUUCGCUAGUAAUCGCGCAUCAGCCAUGGCGCGGUGAAUACGUUCCCGGGCCUUGUACACACCGCCCGUCAAGCCAUGAAAGCCGGGGGUACCUGAAGUACGUAACCGCAAGGAGCGUCCUAGGGUAAAACUGGUAAUUGGGGCUAAGUCGUAACAAGGUAAC